Molecule: microRNA precursor, 104 nt
Filed under: Cinara cedri
Lineage: Eukaryota; Metazoa; Arthropoda; Insecta; Hemiptera; Aphididae
Rfam family: bantam microRNA precursor family (bases 7-94)
Source: RNAcentral
ACUGUACAUUUGACGCGAAGCUGGUUUUCACUUUGAUCUGUCAGAUUUUACGAUUUACCAUUUCUGAGAUCAUUGUGAAAGCUAAUUUCGUGACUCACGGUGAA